GGCGACCAAGUAGAUGGAACUCUUCGCCUUAUCAGUCUAACUUCGACUCAGGAGCAUGUUCCUCUGUAAAGUUGACACCCAUCUUUGAAAAAAGACACCCGUUUGAGGAAGAUCCAAUAACGGGUCCACAUCCUAUGUUACUCAUUCAAGAAUAUGACAAGUGGGUUCGUGAAGGUCUUCUAGCAAGACAUGAUCAGAAAAGUAAUCUCGACGACCAUUACAAGAAAAACAAGUCUAUACUUCACAUUCCAUUGGAUUUUGGAGCUGAUCAAG
This is a non-coding RNA of Nicotiana tabacum (common tobacco), 273 nucleotides long. NCBI's taxonomy places the organism in Eukaryota, Viridiplantae, Streptophyta, Magnoliopsida, Solanales, Solanaceae. The record is from RefSeq and is a predicted model, not a curated record.